Molecule: microRNA, 23 nt
Filed under: Oreochromis niloticus (Nile tilapia)
Lineage: Eukaryota; Metazoa; Chordata; Actinopteri; Cichliformes; Cichlidae
Description: oni-miR-10803
Source: miRBase by way of RNAcentral
ACACUCAGUGGACUUUUGGACGU